Molecule: ribosomal RNA, 324 nt
Filed under: uncultured eukaryote
Lineage: Eukaryota
Description: partial 18S ribosomal RNA
Rfam family: Eukaryotic small subunit ribosomal RNA
Source: RNAcentral
CCCUUAGAUGUCCUGGGCUGCACGCGCGCUACACUGAUGUGUCCAGUAAGCACCUAACCUAUUCCGAGAGGAGCGGGUAACCUUAGCAAAGCACAUCGUGAUGGGGAUAGAUUAUUGCAAUUAUUAGUCUUGAACGAGGAAUUCCUAGUAAGCACAAGUCAUCAGCUUGCGUUGAUUACGUCCCUGCCCUUUGUACACACCGCCCGUCGCUCCUACCGAUUGAAUGUUCCGGUGAGCUCUUCGGACUGCGCGGUCUGCAGUUUCUGCGUUCCGUGCGGAAAGUUGUGCAAACCUUAACAUUUAGAGGAAGGAGAAGUCGUAACA